This 76-nucleotide transfer RNA is filed under the name Pectobacterium carotovorum. Its description in RNAcentral is "tRNA-Met". It matches the Rfam family "tRNA". Rfam says of the family: Transfer RNA (tRNA) molecules are approximately 80 nucleotides in length. The record is from RNAcentral. RNAcentral also lists the same sequence under 4 other names. Lineage: Bacteria; Pseudomonadati; Pseudomonadota; Gammaproteobacteria; Enterobacterales; Pectobacteriaceae.
CGCGGGGUGGAGCAGCCUGGUAGCUCGUCGGGCUCAUAACCCGAAGGUCGUCGGUUCGAAUCCGGCCCCGCAACCA